Molecule: unclassified non-coding RNA, 401 nt
Filed under: Hevea brasiliensis (rubber tree)
Lineage: Eukaryota; Viridiplantae; Streptophyta; Magnoliopsida; Malpighiales; Euphorbiaceae
Source: RNAcentral
AGACAAUCUAAGUGCAUCAAAGAUAAACCACAAUAUUAGAGGCUAGAUACAGAUUUUAAUCAUAUACAUGGAUGUUGAACUGCCUUUCCUUUUGCUGUGUCUUUUGGGAAUGGAUUGGCUGUUAGUUGAUUUUUGCUUCUUGAGGAAUAACCAGCACUCGCUUGCUUGUUGGAUGAUUUGGUAUGUAGCCUUCCUCCUUCUUUCAGCUUUGUUUGCUUACUCCUUGUUGAUUUGUCUUGGGUGGAUUAUCCUCCUUGUUUAAUCCUAUAGGUUUUACUUGGGAAAGUAAUUGGGGCUCACUUUCUGCUUUUCCUUGAUAGUUGUAAAUUUCGAGCUUGCCUUGCUAUCUCGCAAGUGAAUUUUUGUGCAGAAUUUUGAUGGAUUAAUUUUAGAAAACAAUG